AGAUGGCGACCGGCGCACGGGUGAGUAACACGUAUCCAACCUGCCGAUAACUCGGGGAUAGCCUUUCGAAAGAAAGAUUAAUACCCGAUGGCAUACGAAUAUCGCAUGAUAUUUUUAUUAAAGAAUUUCGGUUAUCGAUGGGGAUGCGUUCCAUUAGUUUGUUGGCGGGGUAGCGGCCCACCAAGACUACGAUGGAUAGGGGGUUCUGAGAGGAAGGUCCCCCACAUUGGAACUGAGACACGGUCCAAACUCCUACGGGAGGCAGCAUG
Molecule: ribosomal RNA, 269 nt
Filed under: uncultured bacterium
Lineage: Bacteria
Description: partial 16S ribosomal RNA
Rfam family: Bacterial small subunit ribosomal RNA
Source: RNAcentral